Molecule: ribosomal RNA, 520 nt
Filed under: uncultured bacterium
Lineage: Bacteria
Description: bacterial SSU rRNA
Rfam family: Bacterial small subunit ribosomal RNA
Source: RNAcentral
GGGAAUCUACCCAUCCCUACGGGAUAGCUCCGGGAAACUGGAAUUAAUACCGUAUACGUCCUUCGGGAGAAAGAUUUAUCGGGGAUGGAUGAGCCCGCGUUGGAUUAGCUAGUUGGUGGGGUAAAGGCCUACCAAGGCGACGAUCCAUAGCUGGUCUAAGAGGAUGAUCAGCCACAUUGGGACUGAGACACGGCCCAAACUCCUACGGGAGGCAGCAGUGGGGAAUAUUGGACAAUGGGCGCAAGCCUGAUCCAGCCAUGCCGCGUGAGUGAUGAAGGCCCUAGGGUUGUAAAGCUCUUUCAGUGGGGACGAUAAUGACGGUACCCACAGAAGAAGCCCCGGCUAACUUCGUGCCAGCAGCCGCGGUAAUACGAAGGGGGCUAGCGUUGUUCGGAAUUACUGGGCGUAAAGCGCACGUAGGCGGAAAUUUAAGUCAGGGGUGAAAUCCCGGGGCUCAACCCCGGAACUGCCUUUGAUACUGGGUUUCUUGAGUUCGGAAGAGGUAAGUGGAAUUGCGAGU